AUUGACCUCGGAUCAGGUAGGGAUACCCGCUGAACUUAAGCAUAUCAAUAAGCGGAGGAAAAGAAACCAACAGGGAUUGCCUCAGUAACGGCGAGUGAAGCGGCAACAGCUCAAAUUUGAAAUCUGGCCCCGUCGGGGUCCGAGUUGUAAUUUGUAGAGAGUGUUUCGGGUGAGACCACGGUCUAAGUCUAUUGGAACAUGGCGUCAUAGAGGGUGAGAAUCCCGUAUGUGACCGUGGCUCGAGCCCAUGUGAAGCCUCUUCGACGAGUCGAGUUGUUUGGGAAUGCAGCUCAAAAUGGGUGGUAAAUUUCAUCUAAAGCUAAAUACUGGCUGGAGACCGAUAGCGCACAAGUAGAGUGAUCGAAAGAUGAAAAGCACUUUGGAAAGAGAGUCAAAAAGUACGUGAAAUUGUUGAAAGGGAAGCGCUUGCAACCAGACCUGUCCGUAGGUGAUCAACCGCUGUUCUCAGUGGUGCACUCGCUCUGCGAUCAGGCCAGCAUCGGUUCCGGCGGUCGGAUAAAGGCCUUGGGAAUGUAGCUGCCUUCGGGGAGUCUUAUAGCCCUCGGUGCAAUGCGGCCAGCCGGGACCGAGGACCGCGCUUCGGCUAGGAUGCUGGCGUAAUGGCUGUAAGCGACCCGUCUUGAAACACGG
RNAcentral lists this ribosomal RNA (651 nucleotides) under Usnea florida. RNAcentral describes it as "eukaryotic LSU rRNA". It matches the Rfam family "Eukaryotic large subunit ribosomal RNA", at positions 1 to 664 of the family's 3401-position model. Lineage: Eukaryota; Fungi; Ascomycota; Lecanoromycetes; Lecanorales; Parmeliaceae. The record is from RNAcentral.